Molecule: ribosomal RNA, 134 nt
Organism: Aotus nancymaae (Ma's night monkey)
Lineage: Eukaryota; Metazoa; Chordata; Mammalia; Primates; Aotidae
Source: Ensembl
GUCUAUGGCCGCACCACCGUGAACGCGUUCAAUCUCAUCUGAUCUCAGAAGCUAAGCAGGAUCGGGCCUGGUUAGUACUUGGAUGGGAAAUAAUCAGAAGGAUCAAAAGAUGAAUGGAAAGGAGGCCACUUCCC